ACCAUCCUUUUCUUGGGGUUGUACUACUGUCCAAUGAAUGCAUAGUGAGGGCAGUACUGCUAACGCUUAAACAUCACACUCAUAUCAACUAAAACUCUGCUUUAUGUUGGUGCAAUUUUGGAAAAA
Molecule: small nuclear RNA, 126 nt
Organism: Saimiri boliviensis boliviensis (Bolivian squirrel monkey)
Lineage: Eukaryota; Metazoa; Chordata; Mammalia; Primates; Cebidae
Source: Ensembl